AUUUUAAAACAUCAGAGUUAGAACGCAGCGAUGACGGAGGAUUAUGGGCAGGCCUGGUCGAUUUUUUUGAUUGGGCGAUAGCAUAGCGCCGGACCAUGGGCGACGGCGACGGUAGAAGCUUCGUGCUCGAUAAAAUACUUGGGCAUACGGGUAAAUCUUAAUAUUGAUGUUCUUGUAUUUAAAAAAAAUGAUACAUGACAUUACUAGUCUGUAGAAUUACUGGAUUAUGAAUACAUUGGGUAUUAACAAAAAAAUGAUGAUGAUUAUGGGGAUUGAGGGUUUCUUCUGUGUGAUUGUAUUAAUUGGUCAUUCUUUGUAAAUGUAUUCUGAGUUGUGAGUGUUCUUGGAUCUUCUUAUUGCAACAGAGGUGUAAGUCAUUGUUUCAUUGAAUAAGCUAAUUUGCCAAUUUUGGUUUGUUUUGGUUUAUUGUACUUCGAAUGAUUAUAAUUGCUUGAAUUUUGUAGUUGUAAUUAAAGAAUGAUGUUGGUAGAACGACGAGAAUGAGUCUGUUGUUGCCUGUUGGUGUUAACUCAAUUUGAAUAUUAUAAGUUUUUUUACAUGGUGUCAACCCAAUUCGGAAAAGUAAUUACUUUAUUCAGAUUUAAUGUUAAGCUUCUUGAAAAUGUAGCAUACUAAAUACUAACUAUGCAGUACAUGUAGGUGGUGGAAACUCUCCUGUUGUAGUUGUUCCACUGUUUGCUUUAGGAAUGCAAAGUGGCACGAUUGAUGUGGCCUAUCUUAUGUUUCCCGUGGAGAUAAGUUUAUGCUAUAUGGUAGUAUAUACAUAUGUGGACGGAAUAAUAUUGAUGCAAGAUGCAUUUCUUGUUUGUUAGAUUUCGUUGUCAAAUGCCAAUAGCGCCAAGAACUCAUCACAAACUCUACAUAGCUCAUGCAUAAUCGUGGAAGGCAAGAGUAUUUUUUUUCUUUCUAUUGUGAUAGAUUACACAUCAGUAAGUAGAGGGAAUAAUUAUAAAUUAUUUUUCCAUAUUCACGAAAUCUGCACAUUGGAAUUUACUGAUUGUUAAAUAAAUUUCUUUGCUCACAGGGUCUCGUGUAAAUUUUGUUCGAGUUCAAAUUUGAGGCCUCAAUGCAGCAGCGGUCUAAUCGAAACCAGCUUUCUACAUCGACAAGCUCGAGCACGUAAACGAGAAGGAUAUUGAUCUUGAACAUAGUUACAAAACAAAUAGCUUUUUUAACUUGUAUCGAAUUGAAAAAUUAGGUGGCUUCCUUAAAUAUUAAGGCAAAACUCAUUCGAGUUUUCUUUCGGUCUAUGUAUUAUAUGUUUUGACUAUUGUAGAAUCGUAUGUGAAUUUGGUGUUUUAAGAAUUUUAUGUAGUAGAUUUUCUAUUGAUUAUCAAGAAUUUUGAAGUUGAAU
Molecule: long non-coding RNA, 1375 nt
Filed under: Erythranthe guttata (spotted monkey flower)
Lineage: Eukaryota; Viridiplantae; Streptophyta; Magnoliopsida; Lamiales; Phrymaceae
Description: long non-coding RNA (EGUT_LNC001948)
Source: RNAcentral